UAUUUUUUAUUGUAAUUUUAUUAUUGUUCCUUUGAUAGUAUCUGUAGUGUGUUUAAUAACUUGUAUUUUUGGUUGUUGGCGGAAAUGUUAAUGCUUGAGUUUAUGCAUUUGUAGAAUUAAUAAUUUAGUAAAUUAUUUUUAAUUGAGUUUUAUGUUUAUAAUUUUUUUAAAUAACUAAAAUUAGGUUCUUUUGUUUUUUAAAGACUUAGGCUUUUGUUUGAAGUUGUCUUCUGCUCUAUGAGUUUUUAAAUGGCAGCCUUAGCGUGAGGGUAUUAAGGUAGCAUAAUAAUUUGUGUCUUUAAUGGGCUCUAGUAUGAAUGGAGGAAAUGGAUCUUAAUUUUCUUUUAUUUGUUUUGAAUUAUGGGUUUAACUAAAAAUUGUUGCCUUUAAUUAUACUAAAAUAAGUCAACGGAAAUUUUUUAGCGAUGAAGUGUGCAGAGAUAACUCGAAUGAAUGUGAACAGCUUGAUUGAAACAUCACAAAGGAUCGCCCAGCAGCCGCGGUAAUUCCAGCUCUCAAAGUGUAUAUCGUCAUUGCUGCGGUUAAAAAGCUCGUAGUUG
Molecule: ribosomal RNA, 560 nt
Filed under: Syphacia obvelata
Lineage: Eukaryota; Metazoa; Nematoda; Chromadorea; Rhabditida; Oxyuridae
Description: partial large subunit ribosomal RNA
Source: RNAcentral